Molecule: long non-coding RNA, 4467 nt
Organism: Vombatus ursinus (common wombat)
Lineage: Eukaryota; Metazoa; Chordata; Mammalia; Diprotodontia; Vombatidae
Exons: 2
Source: RefSeq, a predicted model, not a curated record
CAGAGCUCUGCUGGGGACAAAGAAGGAAGAACAGGCCAUCCAUCCACCAGGUCCCAGAGAAGCUGAAUGAUCCAUCGGUGCCGGACUGGGUUGGUUCGGCUUGGUUGCCGAGGGCAGUGCUAGGAACAGGAAGAAGGGGCAGAGAGGCCAAGCUGAGUUUCGAUGCAAACUUCUAGGGGCCAUCUGAAGCAAGCCCUUCGUGCCUGGCUUCGCCCAGAAGCAACAGAUGAUGUCCCAUCAUCCCUCAUAACUAAAGGGGUGAAGGAGGGAUGAAUAUAUGAGAUACUGUGGAGGACAGAAGCCACUAGAUCUGGCAAUGACUGGGGGUGAGACUGAGAACCAGAGGAUGGCACGAAACGGGAAAACACCAAUUAAGUGCUUAUCGUGUGCCCAACACUGGGCUGAGUUCUGGAGAUACGGACAGUCCUUGCUCUGGAGAAGCGCCCGUUCUGACAAGGGAAGACUCUGCCACAGGACAGAGGGAAGAGCAAGUGAGUGCUCCAAACAGCAGACCAAACAUCAAGGCCAUUGGCAGGGUCGUAGGAUUCUACACAGCAGGGUGUGUAAGGCUCAUCAGCACCUUGCCAGAAGGGCGAGAGAUGGUGACUCCUUGCUCACCCGGGCAGUGUGGGCAAGACAUCUGACGAUGGGCCCCAGCAGAUCUCCCAACGCACCCGGUGCCCCUCAGGUCACCAAAGUGAAAGGGAGGGGCGCGGAUGUUCAUGGGAAGGGCAGGCCAAUAGAAAAAAACCUGCUCAACUUGUGGUAAGCAACCAGAGUUCAAACACCUGAGAGUUUCCAGAAUGCCUCACCCUCUCCUUUAUUUCCCAAUUUCUUUGCCUGGGGAUAGGACGAGCUGGGCUGCUCAGCACUCAGACCCAUCUGAAACGCUUCUUCCCUGAGAGUUAAUGUCUGGGCCAAGCAUGAAGUAUAGAGACUGGGGGGGACAGGAGCUCUGCCUCUGACAUGGCGAGUCCGAUGUGCCCUUGGCUCAUCCAGGAGCAGAAAUCCAGGAGCAGCUGGCUGGUGAAGCCUAUGGGAGCUCGGGAGAGAAACAGAGGCUGGAUCUAGAAAUCAAGGAGUCACCGACAAGAGAAGACAACCGUACCCAGAGUCACUGCCACCAAGAAGAAGCUUGUUGUAGGCCAUUUCCCAAAGACUGCUCCAACUGGCUCUCCGAUUCAAUCCUGAGCUUAGCUCACGUCCCGUCGGCCCUGCCCCAGGCCCGUCAUCCGACUGCCUGUGACAGAGUAGACACCGGCCACUCUUCUAGGCGUUUACCCAUCUCAUCCAGAAAUGCGUUUCCUGUCUUGGGGCAAUCGGCACACUCUCCUUCACAAACAGGAGCACCUGCAGGAACCUGGCCUGGAAGAACUUCUGGGACAGUGGCACAGCCUUAGAACAAAUUCUAGUGCCUUUCCUCAUUUGCCUAACCUGCAAGCAAUACUGAAGAGGUCAAGGCUGUCUCUGCUGUUACAACUUUAAAGGGAUCACUGGUGGUUGUGACACAUACAAGGAAGGCAGUCUGUUACAAGAGGGCCCUCACCUGGUGUCUGCCCCUCAGAAUAGGAGCCCCUUAAGAGCAGGGACGUUUUGGGACUUUUUCUCUGAAUCCUCAGCACUUUGCACAUACGUAAACGCCUGACGACCGGGCGACUAAAUAAAACGCUUUUUUAUCGUCAGCAAUUGAUAAGAACCUGAGGAACUUGUAUUCUCUACUCCUUCCAGGGAAUCACGACUGUAAAGAUGUAGCCUGCGGUGGGGCCCCGGCGCCUCUGGGACCUAACAGAAAAGUCUGCUUCAUAACUUAGCCCCUUCUACCUGUGGGGUCUUUUUAUACCUUCCACCCCAACGUGUGCCCUCUGAUCCAGUGACACUGGCCUACUGGCUGGUCCAUUGCUUGGCUCUGGGCAUUUUUACUGGCUGUCUCCCACGCCUGGAAUGAUUUCUCUCCUCACUUCCUCCUCCCGGCUUCUCUGGUAUCCUGCAAGUCUCAGCUAAAAUCCCACCACCCACAGGAAGCCUUCCCCAACUCCUCUUAAUUCUAGUGCCUUUCCUCUCUUCACGAUUUCCUAUUUACCCCUUAUAAAGUUUGUUUGUAUAUAUUUGGUCGUCAUCUCCCCGCUAGAUUGGGAGCCCCUUGAGAGCAGGGACUGUCUUUUACUUCAUUUUGCAUUCUUAGAGCUUAGCACAGUGCCGGGCACAUGGUACACACUCAAUAAAGGCUUACCGACUAAGCUAACCUGAGAUUAGACCUCUAACUGGAUAGGUCAUCAGGAAUCAAGGCCAGAGAUUGGGGAGGAAGGUCACCCAAGCAUACUUUCCUGGAGCUCCCAGUGAAUACAACCAAACUCUGGGGACAGUGACGGUGGCCACACAAUGCAGAGUCUUGAUGCUGGGUCCACAUGAGGCGACGAAAGAAAAGAAAGACGAGAGGCCCGGAUGAGCGCGCCAGCCCUGUAAGGUAAUCCCUUGAAGUCCUGAGCUGUUAGUUCUGACUCCUCUCCUGGAGAAGUCAGUGGUGGAAAAAGAAAAGGCCGGCCAACAAAAGAGCACCGAGCUUUCAAAAGUUAUCUCGGGAAAACAGGAGCCAGCAUGGGAUGGGGUGCGAAAACACUUAGGAAAGCUAGGCCAGUACCUGGUGGGAGGAGAAGUGGGGAGCACAAAGGGGAAAGCACCACUUUUUUAGUGGAAAAAACCACAGGAAUGAAUAAGAAAACAUCUCAUCUGGAUGAAACAAGAGAGCUUCAGCAGAGCAGGGACAUCCAGCUUAAUGGUUUGGUCUAACAGGUGGGGAACCUGGGGCCUCGAGGCCACAUGUGGCCCUCUUGGUCCUCAAGUGCAGCCCUCUGCCUGAAUCCCAGCUUCACAGAACUGUCCCAUCUCUGAUGGGAGAUCCCUCAACCUACGUGAACUCUGACUAGUCUCGCCCUGCUGAACCACAGAUCCUCCUCUAUAAAACGGAGGGUCUGGACGGGGAUCACCUAUUACCAGGAGACCCUGGUCCUUGUUCUGUUUCUGCUACAAGUGAUCUGAUCUUGUAUCACUGCGAUCCUCUCCGGGCCUCAUCCGUAAAAUGAGAGGAGGGAAGGCAAUGUUCACGUUUGAUGUUUUUUGAAGUUGUAAUAAAAAAGGAAAAAUUAAAAUAAGUAAAUAAAAUGAGGGAUUGGAUUAGAAAAUAGCUCCAAAAUUCAAUGAAGCCACGUCAUGACCCAUGAUGUAGGAAGCGUGGGUAGAAACGUUUUUCCAGCUUGGAAAUCUGAUUCCAUGUAAUAUUUGAUGCCACUUCUUUUCUACGAUCUAGAGAAAUUAUGAGGCUGGCACGGGCCUAACCACAAAGAGGGGGAGGGGCUCACACCCUUGUCCGAUGGACCCAUCGGCUCCCUCUCCCAGAAUCCUAAGAGCUGGAAGACACCUUUGAGCUCUUUCAGGAGGGCAUGAGCCCCUCGGACCUUCGGCAAUCUCCCUGUCAGGAAGUCACAGAGCCUCUGCUUCGAGGCCUCCCCUGGAAGAUCGCGACUCCACAAACCAGCCCAUUCUAGCUGCGGACAGCUCCAUUAAGGAAGUGUGUCCUCACAGGAGCAAUCAAUCUGUCGCCUUUAUCUGCCACCCACUCGCCCUGCGGCCCUGUCCCCUGGGGCCCAAGCAGAACUAGGCCAACAAGACUAAACGUCCCUUCCAAUGUGCAGUUCACAGCCGGCCUCCAUCCAAGUCUACUCUUUAACAGCUUUGUCAGUGAGCUGCUUAAGGGGCUUUCUCGUGAAUCCCAAAGGGCAGAAUGAGGAGCAAGGGAAGAGUUGCCUAGACAGAGGAUUUCACCCAAACCUUCAAAAGCUCCUGCCAAGAGCAGAAAACGCCAGCCCCUUGAGGACUUCCACAACCUCACUCCAAACUACUUUCCCAGGGCUCCCCUCCAUGCACCAUGUUCCAGCCAACCUGGUUGACCAUCUUCCGCCGCCCUGGAUUUAGACAGGCACGUCCCCCACACCUCCUCCAAGGCUCAGCUGUGGGGCCAAUUCCCUAGAAAGUCUCGCUUGACCCAACCAUUAAACAUUCUCUCUACCGCAUACACUUUCAAACUUAGUUGCUCUAUGAGUUACUUUUGCUGAACUGCUUCCCUCCCCCCACCCCCAUGUUUUAUUCUUUGCUAAGAGGGAUGGUUCUGGGUGGGGGAGGGACAUACUGGUCCCUUUGAUGUCACUGAUGUAAAAGUCAAAGAUAGCGACAAAAAGCUUUGAAAAACAAAGUUCCCCUCCCCCAACGUUCUAGAGCAUCGUCUAGGCUCUCCUUUGCUCCUGUUAUACCCGACUUUGUAUUCUGCUUAUUUGCGUGUGUGACGCAUCCCCACUGAGUAAGCCACAGGCACCUUCAGGCAGGGACUAUGUCAUUUUUCAUCUUUAGAUGCCCAGCACCAAAUACUGUGACUCCGCACAUAGGAGGCAUUAAAUAAACAGUUCUCAAAUUUAA